UACGUAGGCAGCAAGCGUUGUUCGGAAUUACUGGGCGUAAAGAGUGUGUAGGCGGUGUUCUAAGUCUGGUGUGAAAUCUCCCGGCUCAACUGGGAGGGUGCGCCGGAAACUGGAAUGCUCGAGUAUGGGAGAGGUAAGCGGAAUUCCUGGUGCAGCGGUGAAAUGCGUAGAUAUCAGGAGGAACACCUGUGGUGUAGACAGCUUACUGGACCAUCACUGACGCUGAGACACGAAAGCGUGGGUAGCAAACAGG
This 253-nucleotide ribosomal RNA is filed under the name uncultured bacterium. RNAcentral describes it as "partial 16S ribosomal RNA". It matches the Rfam family "Bacterial small subunit ribosomal RNA", at positions 524 to 776 of the family's 1533-position model. The record is from RNAcentral.